Molecule: ribosomal RNA, 492 nt
Filed under: uncultured bacterium
Lineage: Bacteria
Description: partial 16S ribosomal RNA
Rfam family: Bacterial small subunit ribosomal RNA
Source: RNAcentral
AGUGAACGCUGGCGGUAGGCCUAACACAUGCAAGUCGAACGGCAGCACAGUAAGCGUUUUCUCUUACGGGUGGCGAGUGGCGGACGGGUGAGGAAUACAUCGGAAUCUACUUUUUCGUGGGGGAUAACGUAGGGAAACUUACGCUAAUACCGCAUACGAUCUACGGGUGAAAUCAGGGGAUCUUCGGACCUUGCGCGACUGAAUUAGACGAUGUCGGAUUAGCUAGUUGGCGGGGUAAAGGCCCACCAAGGCGACGAUCCGUAGCUGGUCUGAGAGGAUGAUCAGCCACACUGGAACUGAGACACGGUCCAGACUCCUACGGGAGGCAGCAGUGGGGAAUAUUGGACAAUGGGCGCAAGCCUGAUCCAGCCAUACCGCGUGGGUGAAGAAGGCCUUCGGGUUGUAAAGCCCUUUUGUUGGGAAAGAAAAGCAGCAGGCUAAUACCCGGCUGUUCUGACGGUACCCAAAGAAUAAGCACCGGCUAACUUCGUG